RNAcentral lists this unclassified non-coding RNA (343 nucleotides) under soil metagenome. Its description in RNAcentral is "partial contains 5.8S ribosomal RNA, internal transcribed spacer 2, and large subunit ribosomal RNA". The stretch from base 1 to 120 matches the Rfam family "5.8S ribosomal RNA", at positions 35 to 154 of the family's 154-position model. The record is from RNAcentral.
GAUGAAGAACGUAGCGAAAUGCGAUAAGUAAUGUGAAUUGCAGAAUUCAGUGAAUCAUCGAAUCUUUGAACGCACAUUGCGCCCGCCAGCAUUCUGGCGGGCAUGCCUGUUCGAGCGUCAUUUCAACCCUCGAGCCCCCCCGGGGGCCUCGGUGUUGGGGGACGGCACACCAGCCGCCCCCGAAAUGCAGUGGCGACCCCGCCGCAGCCUCCCCUGCGUAGUAGCACACACCUCGCACCGGAGCGCGGAGGCGGUCACGCCGUAAAACGCCCAACUUUCUUAGAGUUGACCUCGGAUCAGGUAUGAAUACCCGCUGAACUUAAGCAUAUCAAUAAGCGGAGGA